RNAcentral lists this transfer RNA (71 nucleotides) under Neostylopyga rhombifolia (harlequin cockroach). RNAcentral describes it as "tRNA-Ser". It matches the Rfam family "tRNA". Rfam says of the family: Transfer RNA (tRNA) molecules are approximately 80 nucleotides in length. The record is from RNAcentral. Lineage: Eukaryota; Metazoa; Arthropoda; Insecta; Blattodea; Blattidae.
AGUUAAAAAACUUUAUAGAAAAGUAUAUGUCUUGAAAGCAUAAUAAAGAAGUUUAAUUCUUCUAUUAACUU